UACGGAGGGUGCAAGCGUUAUCCGGAUUUACUGGGUUUAAAGGGUGCGUAGGUGGGCAGGAAAGUCAGUGGUGAAAUCUCCGGGCUUAACCCGGAAACUGCCAUUGAUACUAUUUGUCUUGAAUAUCGUGGAGGUAAGCGGAAUAUGUCAUGUAGCGGUGAAAUGCUUAGAUAUGACAUAGAACACCAAUUGCGAAGGCAGCUUACUACCCGAAUAUUAACACUGAGGCACGAAAGCGUGGGGAUCAAACAGG
RNAcentral lists this ribosomal RNA (253 nucleotides) under uncultured bacterium. Its description in RNAcentral is "partial 16S ribosomal RNA". It matches the Rfam family "Bacterial small subunit ribosomal RNA", at positions 524 to 776 of the family's 1533-position model. The record is from RNAcentral.